UUGGAAUGCAAAGUCCAAAAUGUUAUGGGUUGUGCUUGGCAUUUGCACUGCAAGAAUUCAUGUCAUGAAACAUCAUCAAACUACAAAUCAGAUUAAUUAAACAUUAAUUCCAGCACAAAUUAAUUAGACAAUCACUAACUUAGACAAUUGAUUUGAUCAACUUAUGAGUGCAUGUCCUCACGACACAUUCCAAGCAUCAAAAGACACCUGACUGAUCAACAAUUAACACAAGUCUCAUACAGGUUAACACAAAAGCAUCAGGAAGAGAGAUCACAAACACAUAACAGAUCGAACAAGAUGAGAAAGAUUUAGAGAUAAAGAGAGGCUACUUGUCGUUGUUGUUGUACAUGUCCAUGUCCUCGCGCUUCUCGCUGCGCCCUCGCCGGAAUAUGGGAUCCAUAUCAUGAGAACGGUGGCCUCCCGACUCCGGC
This 431-nucleotide long non-coding RNA is filed under the name Oryza brachyantha (malo sina). Its description in RNAcentral is "long non-coding RNA (OBRA_LNC002182)". Lineage: Eukaryota; Viridiplantae; Streptophyta; Magnoliopsida; Poales; Poaceae. The record is from RNAcentral.